Molecule: ribosomal RNA, 460 nt
Filed under: uncultured bacterium
Lineage: Bacteria
Description: partial 16S ribosomal RNA
Rfam family: Bacterial small subunit ribosomal RNA
Source: RNAcentral
CCUACGGGAGGCAGCAGUGAGGAAUAUUGGUCAAUGGUCGGGAGACUGAACCAGCCAAGCCGCGUGCGGGAUGAAGGUACAGAGUAUCGUAAACCUCUUUUGUCAGGGAACAAAGGCGGGGACGUGUCCCCGGCUGAGUGUACCUGAAGAACAAGCAUCGGCUAACUCCGUGCCAGCAGCCGCGGUAAUACGGAGGAUGCGAGCGUUAUCCGGAUUUAUUGGGUUUAAAGGGUGCGCAGGCGGUCUGUUAAGUUAGGGGUGAAAUCCCGGGGCUCAACCCCGGACCUGCCGUUGAAACUGGCAGUCUCGAGUUGGAGAGAAGUAUGCGGAAUGCACGGUGUAGCGGUGAAAUGCAUAGAGAUCGCACAGAACUCCGAUUGCGAAGGCAGCAUGCCGGCUCCACACUGACGCUGAGGCACGAAAGCGUGGGUAUCGAACAGGAUUAGAUACCCGAGUAGUC